Long non-coding RNA from Gallus gallus (chicken), 532 nucleotides. The record is from Ensembl. Lineage: Eukaryota; Metazoa; Chordata; Aves; Galliformes; Phasianidae.
UAGGAUUUCAAUCUGGAGGGGCACUCAUCUUCCAGAAAAGUACAAGGUUGGCUUAAACUUCUACCACAUACUGAAGCAUCACAAAGCAGCUUCUCAACAGAAAUCUGUGUAAUAAAUGAAAAUGAGAGCCAUGCAGUUAUCUGACCUGCUAUGAAUAUCAUUCAGCUAGUUGGUUGUUCUGUCUUCAGAAUCACAGAACAAAUGAAUGGUUAAGGUUGGAAGGAACCACUUGUGAUCAUCUAGUCCAACUUCUGUGCUUCUUGAAGCACAUUCCCCAGGAUCACUUCCAGGCAACUGUCCACAGUGGAGAAGUAUCAGUGGGAAUGUCAGAGCUAUGAGGAAGAUGCUUCAUCUGUUAGGGUCUCUGAUUCAUGUCACUGAUGUUGUGACCUAGAAGUCCCAGUGGAGAGCAGGAACCCGUAAGCAAGUAAGUUUUUUACAGAAAACUGGGAGAUUGUCCACAGAACAUAUCAGUGUUGUUAACUAAGUAGAUAAAUGAGAGCAGGAUGUUGUGCAGUCUCAAACAAAGUGG